AGUGAACGCUGGCGGUAGGCCUAACACAUGCAAGUCGAACGGCAGCACAGUAAGAGCUUGCUCUUACGGGUGGCGAGUGGCGGACGGGUGAGGAAUACAUCGGAAUCUACUUUUUCGUGGGGGAUAACGUAGGGAAACUUACGCUAAUACCGCAUACGACCUACGGGUGAAAGCAGGGGAUCUUCGGACCUUGCGCGAUUGAAUGAGCCGAUGUCGGAUUAGCUAGUUGGCGGGGUAAAGGCCCACCAAGGCGACGAUCCGUAGCUGGUCUGAGAGGAUGAGCAGGCAGACUGGAACUGGAUCACGGUCCAGACGCCUGCGGGAGGCAGCAGUGGGGAAUAUUGGACAAUGGCCGCAAGCCUGAUCCAGCCAUUCGGCGUGAGUGAAGAGCGCCUUCGGGUUGUAACGCUCUUUUGUUGGGAAAGAAAAGCAGCGGGUUAAUACCCCGCUGUUCUGACGGUACCAAAAGAAUAAGCGCCGGCUAACUUCGUG
Molecule: ribosomal RNA, 492 nt
Filed under: uncultured bacterium
Lineage: Bacteria
Description: partial 16S ribosomal RNA
Rfam family: Bacterial small subunit ribosomal RNA
Source: RNAcentral